GUAGUCUGCAACCCGACCUACAUGAAGCUGGAAUCGCUAGUAAUCGCAAAUCAGAAUGUUGCGGUGAAUACGUUCCCGGGUCUUGUACACACCGCCCGUCACACCAUGGGAGUUGGAAAUGCCCGAAGUCAGUGACCCAACCUAAGGGAGGGAGCUGCCGAAGGCAGGUUCGAUGACUGGGGUGAAGUCGUAACAAGGUAUC
Molecule: ribosomal RNA, 202 nt
Filed under: uncultured bacterium
Lineage: Bacteria
Description: partial 16S ribosomal RNA
Rfam family: Bacterial small subunit ribosomal RNA
Source: RNAcentral